This 468-nucleotide ribosomal RNA is filed under the name uncultured bacterium. Its description in RNAcentral is "partial 16S ribosomal RNA". It matches the Rfam family "Bacterial small subunit ribosomal RNA", at positions 28 to 507 of the family's 1533-position model. The record is from RNAcentral.
GAUGAACGCUGGCGGCGUGCUUAACACAUGCAAGUCGAACGGAAAGGCCCAAGCUUGCUUGGGUCCUCGAGUGGCGAACGGGUGAGUAACCCGUGGGUGAUCUGCCCUGCAGUUCGGGAUAAGCUUGGGAAACUGGGGCUAAUACCGGAUAGGACGAUGGUUUGGAUGCCAUUGUGGCAAGUUUUUUCGGUGUGGGAUGAGCUCGCGGCCUAUCAGCUUGUUGGUGGGGUAAUAGCCUAACAGGGCGUCGGCGGGUAGCCGGCCUGGGAGGGUGUACGGCGACAUUCGGACUGAGAACCGGCACAGACUCCAACGGGAGGCAGCAGUGAGGAAUAUUGCACAAUGGGCGAAAGCCGGAUGCAGCGACGCGGCGUGGGGGAUGACGGCCUUCGGGUUGUAAACUCCUUACGCCAGGGACGAAGCGUUUUUGUGACGGUACCUGGAGAAGAAGCACCGGCUAACUACGUG